CGAGCACGCGCGUGUGGCAUAUCAAUAAGCGGAGGAAAAGAAACUAACAAGGAUUCCCUAGUAACGGCGAGUGAAGCGGGAAGAGCUCAAAUUUGAAAUCUUAAAGGUUCUACCUUGACGAAUUGUAGUUUAUAGAAGUGUUUUCUGUUAGUGGAGUGGCAAAAGUUCUUUGGAAUAGGACAUCAUAGAGGGUGAGAAUCCCGUAUUUGGUCAUUCCUCCUAGCGUUGUGAUACACUUUCAACGAGUCGGAUUGUUUGGGAAUGCAGUCCAAAAUGGGUGGUAAAUUUCAUCUAAAGCUAAAUAUUGGCGAGAUGACCGAUAGCGAACAAGUACCGUGAGGGAAAGAUGAAAAGAACUUUGAAAAGAGAGUUAAACAGUACGUGAAAUUGUCAAAAGGGAAGCGUUUGACACCAGUGUUGUUUUUCCGAAAAUCAAUUACGAAUGUUUUGUUUUUGAGGAGUUAUGACUUCAUCGGCUUGCUUCUUUCUUUACGAAACUUUCUUAAUGCACUUUUCGGUUAACAAGUCAACAUCAAUUUCUUUUGUUGUAAAAGGGUAUGAGGAAGGUGGCUUUCUUUUCGGAGAAAGUGUUUAUAGCCUUGUGCCUCUACAAUCGGAGAGAUUGAGGUCUGCAGCGUAGAUCCCUCGGGGUUAGAUACGUUUGUGCUAAGUUAUAGCUUUUCAUAGACAACUUGUUGACUAUGUUUAGUCUUGUAGCUUACUCGCUGACGCUAUUUUACCUACGCUUAGGAUGUUGAUGUGAUACUGCGAGCA
RNAcentral lists this ribosomal RNA (774 nucleotides) under uncultured Neocallimastigales. RNAcentral's name for it is "partial large subunit ribosomal RNA". It matches the Rfam family "Eukaryotic large subunit ribosomal RNA", at positions 19 to 646 of the family's 3401-position model. Lineage: Eukaryota; Fungi; Neocallimastigomycota; Neocallimastigomycetes; Neocallimastigales. The record is from RNAcentral.